AGAGUUUGAUCAUGGCUCAGAGCGAACGCUGGCGGCAGGCUUAACACAUGCAAGUCGAGCGGGCGUAGCAAUACGUCAGCGGCAGACGGGUGAGUAACGCGUGGGAACGUACCUUUUGGUUCGGAAUAGCUCAGGGAAACUUGAAUUAAUACCGGAUAAGCCCUUACGGGGAAAGAUUUAUCGCCGAAAGAUCGGCCCGCGUCUGAUUAGCUAGUUGGUGAGGUAACGGCUCACCAAGGCGACGAUCAGUAGCUGGUCCGAGAGGAUGAUCAGCCACAUUGGGACUGAGACACGGCCCAAACUCCUACGGGAGGCAGCAGUGGGGAAUAUUGGACAAUGGGCGCAAGCCUGAUCCAGCCAUGCCGCGUGAGUGAUGAAGGCCCUAGGGUUGUAAAGCUCUUUUGUGCGGGAAGAUAAUGACGGUACCGCAAGAAUAAGCCCCGGCUAACUUCGUGCCAGCAGCCGCGGUAAUACGAAGGGGGCUAGCGUUGCUCGGAAUCACUGGGCGUAAAGGGUGCGUAGGCGGGUCUUUAAGUCAGGGGUGAAAUCCUGGAGCUCAACUCCAGAACUGCCUUUGAUACUGAGGAUCUUGAGUUCGGGAGAGGUGAGUGGAACUGCGAGUGUAGAGGUGAAAUUCGUAGAUAUUCGCAAGAACACCAGUGGCGAAGGCGGCUCACUGGCCCGAUACUGACGCUGAGGCACGAAAGCGUGGGGAGCAAACAGGAUUAGAUACCCCCGUAGUCC
This 744-nucleotide ribosomal RNA is filed under the name uncultured bacterium. RNAcentral describes it as "bacterial SSU rRNA". It matches the Rfam family "Bacterial small subunit ribosomal RNA", at positions 8 to 796 of the family's 1533-position model. The record is from RNAcentral.